GAUGAACGCUGGCGGCAUGCCUAAAACAUGCAAGUCGAGCGGUAAGGCCCCUUCGGGGGUACACGAGCGGCGGACGGGUGAGUAACGCGUGGGAAUCUACCCAAACUGAGGGAUAAGCAUUGGAAACGAUGUCUAAUACCGCAUAUGGUCUUCGGAUUAAAGCUUCGGCGGUUUGGGAAGAGCCCGCGUAAGAUUAGCUAGUUGGUGAGGUAAAGGCUCACCAAGGCGACGAUCUUUAACUGGUUUGAGAGGGAUGAUCAGUCACACUGGAACUGAGACACGGUCCAGACUCCUACGGGAGGCAGCAGUUAGGAAUUUUCCACAAUGGGCGAAAGCCUGAUGGAGCAAUGCCGCGUGCAGGAUGAAGGCCUUAGGGUUGUAAACUGCUUUUAUACGUGAAGAAUAUGACGGUAACGUAUGAAUAAGGAUCGGCUAACUCCGU
RNAcentral lists this ribosomal RNA (442 nucleotides) under uncultured bacterium. Its description in RNAcentral is "bacterial SSU rRNA". It matches the Rfam family "Bacterial small subunit ribosomal RNA", at positions 28 to 506 of the family's 1533-position model. The record is from RNAcentral.